CUGUAGUCAGUUAAGCCGACUGUGCUCUCAAGGGCCCAGUGUGCCAUGACUGCAAAUAGUAGUGUCCUUGGUAGUGUAUACAGCCUGUUGAUUGUAUGGGUUGCCCUAAGGGACCUUGGAGACAGCC
Small nucleolar RNA from Vulpes vulpes (red fox), 127 nucleotides. Its record names the gene SNORA70. It matches the Rfam family "Small nucleolar RNA SNORA70". From Rfam's summary of the family: snoRNA U70 seems to be exclusive to mammals and is a member of the H/ACA class of snoRNA which contain H (ANANNA) and ACA box motifs. The record is from Ensembl. Lineage: Eukaryota; Metazoa; Chordata; Mammalia; Carnivora; Canidae.